Molecule: ribosomal RNA, 158 nt
Filed under: Rhizocarpon oederi
Lineage: Eukaryota; Fungi; Ascomycota; Lecanoromycetes; Rhizocarpales; Rhizocarpaceae
Description: 5.8S ribosomal RNA
Rfam family: 5.8S ribosomal RNA
About the family: 5.8S ribosomal RNA (5.8S rRNA) is a component of the large subunit of the eukaryotic ribosome. It is transcribed by RNA polymerase I as part of the 45S precursor that also contains 18S and 28S rRNA.
Source: RNAcentral
AAACUUUCAACAACGGAUCUCUUGGCUCCGGCAUCGAUGAAGAACGCAGCGAAAUGCGAUAAGUAAUGUGAAUUGCAGAAUUCAGUGAAUCAUCGAAUCUUUGAACGCACAUUGCGCCCCCCGGCACCCCGGAGGGCAUGCCUGUCCGAGCGUCAUUA